UAAAACGUGCCUUUGUGUAUGAUUCAACAAGUAGUAGAACAAGCCAUAUGAGUCGAAGUUUAUCCAUUCCUUUUACCUUCGGGAUAAAAGCGAUAUCUGUGGGCCCCUCGAUGAUUUGAUGAUGACAAAUGGAAGUGCUCGGCCGGGCCAGGACUGAUUUGAUUUGUUCAAUUAGUCAGUCGUCAUAAAUCGGAAAUCGGGAAACAACAAAUGGACAGAGAGAAUGAUUAUAAUCCAUGUCUCAGUCCAUAUGAUAUCUAGAAUGGAGGAAUAUAUGAUCCCUUAUCUAAUGGACAAGUCAUUGACAAAGGUCAGAGUUCAUCUACAAGGUCAGAGUUCGACAGAAGCUUUUGAGAGCUACGAUUGCCGGUCGGUUCUUGAAGUCAUUCGCAAUAAUAGUUUUAGACUUAUCCAAGUGGGAGACUGUUGGAUUAAUGUCUAAGUCCAUAACUAUAUUUGGUAAGACUUGACCCGACCCGGCAUGGUCCAUUUGGGUUGCAUACCAUCAUGCACUAUAAUGAGAGAAAUAAGACACUUAUGGUUAUUAAUAUAUUAUAAGUUCUAGUAUAUUAAUAAUAAGAAUAAUAAGAUUAUUUAAUUAGUAUUGAUCAAGAAUUAAUCUAGGAUUAAUUAAGUGAUCAAAAGAAGACUAAUUAAAUAUAUGGGUUGAUUGUGUAAAUCAUCCAUACUUGUAUAGUGGGCUAAUGCUCCAUGGAUAAUCAAGUUGGGCUAAAACCCAUAGGAUGGUCCAUGGAUGCUCCAUGGUGUAUUUGAACCCAUGGAUCCAAGGAAAUGGAAGGCCAUGACAAUUAGGGUUUACCCUAAUUGUAACAACUACAUAAGGUCAUAUUCUUUGGGAAAAAUCGGGCACUAUGAAUAAUAAGAAAGGGAUAGCCAAUUUUAGGAGUGUUCAAGUUUCUCUCAAGUUAUUCCAAGUGUAUUUGGUGUUGUGUGAACCAUUUGAGGUGUCACACUUGAGGCAUUAGGCACUCAAUCUUCAUGAAGACAUUAUACAUCAAAGAGGUAUGUAUUCUAUCUUGUUAUAUUAAUUAUUUUGUAUGCUAGAUUAGGAUAAUACAUUGGAUGUUCAUAAUUUCAUGUAUAAUACAGAAAACAUAGAUCGAAGGUAUUUAGGGUUGAAUGUACACUUAGGAGUGUUAGAAUGCUCAAAACCCAACACUAUAUUAGGUUUGACACCCCACACCUUUUUGCUAGCUACAGUGGGACUUGUAGGUCUAUAGGUGACAAGAGUCAUAGUAUCUUAACGUCUGAAAAAUGUUGUGCAGGUUAUUUCUCGUCAUAGUAUGGUUAUAGCAACUCACAUAGGUAGUUAACAAUCUUUCAAGUUUACAUGGAAACUUUUACCUUGAAAAGGGGUUUACUUCUAAAUCAAACAAGUUUAUGUCGAUUUAAACUCACAUGAAUUACUUUAAGUAUGGUAAAAUACUUGUACACUUUCGGUCUUAGGAUUAAAGACAACUCAUAACACAUAAAAUUUACGGGAUUUUCCUCAAAUUCAAAAUGGUUUUAUGCCGAUUUAAAAUCACAUUUAUAACUUUAAGUAUGGAAAAUACUUGUUUAUUUUCGGUCCUGGGAUUUAGGACUACAUAACUAUUAUAAGGAAAAUAUUGGAUUUUCUUUGGAACAUAUUUCUAUUAACACUACAUCUCGUAUAGAAUUGUUAGACUUCAAUGGUUCAUUUAACUCAAAUUAUAUGUAAUUUAUAUACGCUGAGUGAUCAUAGAAGGAAUCUAUGGGUUCUUCUAGAGUUCAUUAUCGCAUAACAUAGGAGCAUACAUUCCACACUUUAACUAAGAAAAUAUUGGAUUUUCUGGAAAUCAUACUCUAUCAUUUUUACAAGGAAAAUGGUUACUUCCUAAAGUAAAACUCUUAUGAACUCACGAACUUAAUUGUUGACACUUUUUCAAAACUACUUGUAUUCUCAGGAAAUCAGUGAAACAGGAAAACCAACAACAUUUUGAGGAUGGGACGAUAAAUCGUCAAACAGUUCAUUUUAUCAUCAUAAUGUAAUUGAUUUGAAUCAUGUAAACAUAUACUUUAGUGUAACUUUUUCAAUUAUAUUUAUGAUGGUUGUAUUUACUUUGAGCACUAUUAUACUCGUUGUUGUGAUACUUUACAAGAAGUCCUCCACCCCCGGACGUUUCCGCCAUCCUUGGUUUGGGAGUGUGACACGGCUACCAUGAAAAUCAAUGACCAAAGCUCACAACAUAACCUCUAGAGUCUAUAUCGUCCACUCACUCUGGCCGUCGGUCUGUGGUUGAGAAGUUGUGCUGAAGUGUAGCCUCAUACCCAACUCCUCAUGGAACUUCUACCAAAAUCGGGAGGUGAACUAAACAUCACGGUCUAAAAUAAUGGAGACCGGAACCCCAUGGCGAGCAACGAUCUUGCGAAUAUACACAUCGGCUAACUUAUCGGCUGAAGAACUCUCCCGCAUCGCCAGGAAAUUGGCACUCUUGGUUAACCGAUCCAUGAUAACCCAAAUAGCAUCAAAAGCCUUUGCUAUCUUCGGCAAAUUGGUGAUGAAGUCCAUCGACAUUUGCUCCCAUUUCCACAUGGGAACCUCGAGAGGCUACAACUUUCCAUGCGGCCUAUGAUGCUCAGCCUUGACCAUCAUGCAGGUUAAGAACCUCUCCACGUACCAGACGAUCUCACUCUUCAUAAACGAACACCAGUAGCUCAAUCGCAGAUCUCGAUACAUCUUGGUGGCCCCUAGAUGAAUAGAAAAACGAGACUUAUGAGACUCCUCCAGCACAAUAUGUCUGACCCCACUAGACAUAGGUGUUGGAUUAAUGUCUAAGUCCAUAACUAUAAUUGGUAAGACUUGACCCGACCCGACAUGGUCCAUUUGGGCUGCAUGGCAUCAUGCACUUGGAUAGACU
This 2900-nucleotide long non-coding RNA is filed under the name Lactuca sativa (garden lettuce). Its description in RNAcentral is "long non-coding RNA (LSAT_LNC006638)". Lineage: Eukaryota; Viridiplantae; Streptophyta; Magnoliopsida; Asterales; Asteraceae. The record is from RNAcentral.